RNAcentral lists this long non-coding RNA (1726 nucleotides) under Triticum aestivum (bread wheat). Its description in RNAcentral is "long non-coding RNA (TAES_LNC008735)". The record is from RNAcentral. Lineage: Eukaryota; Viridiplantae; Streptophyta; Magnoliopsida; Poales; Poaceae.
AUGCGUGUGUGUUAAGCCAAGUGUUGGCGUGCGUGUGAAGCUAGCUGUGGCCUACUUGUAACGGAACGAUUGGACGAAGACGGCAUCGAAAAAGUGAAUGAACUACUUUCCCCUCGUCUCGUCUCUCGCUCUCACCUAACCCUCUCGUUCUUCCUCAUCCCGAUCCCCUUCUCCUCUCUUCCCAAAUCCUCUAGAUCGGGGCGUGACAGGGUCAAACCCCAUCGGCGUAUGGCCACGGGCGCGAGGAGCACCGCGGUGGGCGCAUCCGGCGGCGCAGCGGCCGCGUCCAGAGGCAUGGUGACCUCCACGCGCGCCCCUCCCAGCGCCAUGGUGGCCGCGUCCAUCCUUGCGGAUGAGGAUGAGGCGAAGGAAAAAGAAGACGAGGCUCAUCUCACCGGCGGCGAGUCCUCCUUUCCUUCUCACUUUCUCUGUUCUCUUUUCUUCUCCUGGUAGAACAAUUGAUGUGUGCAUGUAUAAAAUCGGAAAGAGAACACCAUUUUUUCUUGCGGCAGUCAGAUCGGUCAUUGAAUCGACGACGCUGACACCCCUUGUUCUUCGUGGGCUUCUUGUGCAAAUCAGAGAAGAAAGAGCGCCUGAUUCUUUGGCGAUCUUGUACUGCAGGACAGCGAGAUGUACAUGUUGGGCGGAGUUGAAGAUCGCCGGAGUUGCUGUCUAGUCCGUGCCGGGAACGGUGUCGUCAGCCUUGAUUUCUUUUCCUUGAGGCCUUUUCGCUCUCGGCGGAGCAAAGUGCAUGAUAACGUGUUAGAAGAAAUCGAGAGACAACAAGAGACAAACAAAAUGAUUCAACUCUCUUCUUUGUUGAUGAUACAAUUACACAAUAUAUAGGUCCCGAAGGGACGUGAUGGCACGGAGGGGACGCAAGUAGCCUCGGUUAGCGAGACCAAAGGAAGGGUCGCGCCAAUCGCCAACAGGCGGUAGUUAGCAAGGGGAGAUUCCCUUCCAAUUAAACAUUUGUUUAAUUGUAACAGGUUUAUGGGAAAAAUCACAUCCGAAUCGGUCGGCGAACCGAUAUAGGCAAUACAAUCCGAAUCGCGCGUUCCGGACAGUUUAAGGGUUGGGCGUUGUAGAUGUCCUUACACCUUUGAUCUGAAUGACAUAGCACAGCCUCACGGAAAUUGGGUUCGGGCGUUCGGCAAUACAUACCAUAGCAGAGCCUAAAGAAACCUUUUAUCUACACGAGGCUCGGCCAACACCAUUUCGGAGUUUUCGGUUUCUUUGAUGAAAUGGGGAGGUACGCUCUUUCUGCCAAAGAAACCAUAUUGAAAUAUCAUCACAAAAAGUCCCCCACAUAUACAGUAAGGUGCAAAUUUAUGAUUAAAAACUUACAUGAUCACUCAACUAAGCAAAACUGCAAGAGCGUGACUCGGGUGUUUAGGCAAAGCCUCACGAAUCCGAAUAGGCUGGACAGACUUUUCCUCUACAUGUACAACUAGGAAACGGGAUUACCCCUGUCCAUUGGGUGUGCAUCUGAGCCCAGGCUCAGAAAUGGAUAUUAGCAUUUGAGUUGACUACUAUGUAAGAUGACAGGUUGUAUUGUCUUCCGAAAUGAAAAACCAUCCUUACAAGGCUAGCCUCGAAGUCAUCUCACUAAGAUUUCCCUUUCUUAGGUGGACACGAGCACAUCCGCUGUCAAGUGGCUCAAAGAGACCCGAAAGAAUUAACAGAAUUUCAAAAAAAAACUUCCAUAUUUGAGCCACAAAAAAUU